RNAcentral lists this ribosomal RNA (468 nucleotides) under uncultured bacterium. RNAcentral describes it as "partial 16S ribosomal RNA". It matches the Rfam family "Bacterial small subunit ribosomal RNA", at positions 28 to 507 of the family's 1533-position model. The record is from RNAcentral.
GACGAACGCUGGCGGCGUGCUUAACACAUGCAAGUCGAACGGAAAGGCCCUGCUUUUGUGGGGUGCUCGAGUGCCGAACGGGUGAGUAACACGUGAGUAACCUGCCCCUGACUUUGGGAUAACUUCAGGAAACUGGGGCUAAUACCGGAUAGGAGCUCCUGCUGCAUGGUGGGGGUUGGAAAGUUUCGGCUGUUGUGGAUGGACUCGAUGCUUAUCAGCCUGUUGGUGGGGUAGUGGCUUACCAAGGUUUUGACGGGUAGCCGGCCUGAGAGGGUGACCGGCCACAAUGGGACUGAGAUACGGCCCAGACUCCUACGGGCGGCAGCAGUGGGGAAUAUUGCACAAUGGGCGGACGCCUGAUGCAGCAACGCCGCGUGCGGAAUGACGGCCUUCGGGUUGUAAACCGCUUUCGCCUGUGACGAAGCGUGAGUGACGGUAAUGGGUAAAGAAGCACCGGCUAACUACGUG